This 2313-nucleotide long non-coding RNA is filed under the name Bemisia tabaci. RNAcentral's name for it is "lncRNA ENSSSA2NGG005642". Lineage: Eukaryota; Metazoa; Arthropoda; Insecta; Hemiptera; Aleyrodidae. The record is from RNAcentral.
GCAUCGUUUUCUACCUGCAAUUUUGCUUCAGAAACAACAUGUAUCAGAAUGGUUAAAUUCGCACCUCGUUUAGUGGUCCACUUUUAUUUUUUUAAAAAAAAUACGUUAGAAUGCGAUUCUACAGGGUUUCGUGAAUCACUUGGAGAAACGCAGCAUUUUAGGUGGAAAGCUAGGACAAUUACAAAGAAGUUUCUGAGCCGCUGGGCCUGUUUUGACCCCUUUGAUAAAGCUGGAGUUCAAACUAAAGGGAACUUUCCCCUGAAAAAGUAAGACAAUUCUUUUUGGAUAUGCCCGAAAAAUUGGGCGAUCAUGACCCUUUACGUAACUUUGACUAUACAAUUCAACUAGCAUUUUAUGAUGGAGGUCGGGAAAAUUUACCUUUACGAGGUUUUGAUGCACAUCUUGUUCUUUUCAUAGAUUUUUUCGAUUCCAUAGAGGACUAUAAAUGGAGUCUGAAAAAUAAAAUAGAGGAAUCUCGAACCAAAGUGACGUCUGGAAUCCAAGUGAGAAACUGAACGGUGAUUGAAGAGAAUGAGAGGAUGAUAUUAUAGACCAAGAUCCGUGCGCAGAAUCCAAAGCUCACUGAGUUAUCAAUUUUAGAGAUUCGUUCCUCAAGACUGCAAUCAAAAGGUUUCUACAUUAUGCAAAAAAAUCUUGGACAUUUUCUCAGUUGUCGCAGUAAAAUAGGAUUGCAUUUUGCAAAAAGGAACCACUAGCAUUGCAAUGUUGCUAAGAUUGUGCAACUUCUUUUGUCUUGGAGGAAAACCCCGACCAUCCAUACAUAGUUUCUAUUUUACUCGCUAAAAACUAUAAAUUUAAGACAAAAAUUACCAUCUAAAUUUCAUAGUUUUUCACAAUUUCCACAAUUUUAUUGCAAAGGAUGAAGUUGCACAAUCUCAGCAUCAUUGCAAUGUUAGUGGUUCCUUUUUGCAAAAUGCAAUCCAAUUAACAUCUACAUUCUCAGUUGUCACAGUAAAAUUAACAUCUACACAAUCAUCUGUACGAAUUUUAAGUAUGUAUUAAAUAUUGAUCCAUGUAUUUAGGAGGGAGCUACAACGUUAAUUUUCUUUGCUCUCCAGCUACUCUUCUUUCUCCUCUGGUGGGGUGUAUUUUACUUUUGAAAUUUUUGAAUUUAGAGGAUUGCUUCGUCUCAAAUGUUGAUGUCUAGAUGAGGGUAAAAGGUUAAGUAAAGGAAGCAGAAUGACGCUCUGUGAUGAGAAUUUCAAAGAUUCUUGGGAGAUAUGGGAGUAUGAACGGGGGACAAAUAUUUACCUACUUACAUCCUUUAAAAGUUGUAAUAUGAAGGCUUAAUUUCGUCAGAAAGAAAAAAAGUAGCCAUGAAGUUCAGCUUAUUUCCCCCUUUAUUUUACUCUUUCUUGAAGGGUGAAAAAUUACUGGCACAUUUUACAGGCAUUUGGAACACCUUUUUUGGUGCAAAUGGAAUAACGCGAAAAUCUGGCUGGAAAAGUGUGCUGAAUCGGUUGGAGCACUGGUAAAAUAGGGAGCUCUGGCGAUCACGCGUUGCAGAGCUUUUGAACUUUUUAAGUUACUUAAACUGUUUACUAUGCAGCUGUAUGUUAUGUUUGACUUUGUCUUGAAAUUGUUUACAUUUGUUACCUAAUUUCGACAAUAAAUUAUCAAUCAAUCAAUCAAUCAAUCAAUCAAUCAUUCAUGUGGCACCUCUGAUGAAAGAUGACCUAAACAAUACUUGACUCAGUUUGUAAAGCCCUGGAUAGACGAUCAAAUUCCGAUCAAAGUAGAUAUGCUGAUGACUGGUGGUCACCAUCUACCAUCAAAUUUUGACGGGCCGCACUUUUUUGUUCAAAGUAAGAUCAGAACGGAGUGCCACCAUUCAUCAUUCCCUGCCACAGGAAACAUUUCUGCCAAGUUUUCAUUUUAAAAUGAAGCAAAUUAAUGAGUUUAAGACUGAUGACUCCGGACACUUUGAUGCUACUUUGAUCGGAAUUAGUUCGGGAAUUUGAUCGUCUAUCCAGGGCUCUAAAUCCCGAUUGAUCAAAGGCAAUCAGAGAUCAAAAUGGCAGCCUAUGGAAUUCCAACCGGAAGAUUUGACAACGACCACAAGAAAACAUCUUCAGUCUCAGUCUCUCAGUCUCGGAUCUCUAUAGAGAAAGUUCAAAGACACAACCAGCUGCAGCUCAAUUGAGGACAUGGCACAAUUAACAGCCUGUAGCUGGAAAUCACGUUGUGGAGAACAAAGCAUAGAAAGUUUUGUAAGUACUUAGAUAUUUAAUGUGGUACGCCAACUGUGCUUUCCCGGUGCCCAAUUUUAGGGUGACACAACCAUUCUAGAGA